UAAUGCAGUCGAACGCACAGCGAAAGGUGCUUGCACCUUUCAAGUGAGUGGCGAACGGGUGAGUAACACGUGGAUAACCUACCUCAAGGUUGGGGAUAACAUUUGGAAACAGAUGCUAAUACCGAAUAAAACUUCGUAUCGCAUGAUACAAGGUUAAAAGGCGCUACGGCGUCACCUAGAGAUGGAUCCGCGGUGCAUUAGUUAGUUGGUGGGGUAAAGGCCUACCAAGACAAUGAUGCAUAGCCGAGUUGAGAGACUGAUCGGCCACAUUGGGACUGAGACACGGCCCAAACUCCUACGGGAGGCUGCAGUAGGGAAUCUUCCACAAUGGGCGAAAGCCUGAUGGAGCAACGCCGCGUGUGUGAUGAAGGCUUUCGGGUCGUAAAGCACUGUUGUAUGGGAAGAACAGCUAGAGUAGGGAAUGACUUUAGUUUGACGGUACCAUACCAGAAAGGGACGGCUAAAUACGUGCCAGCAGCCGCGGUAAUACGUAUGUCCCGAGCGUUAUCCGGAUUUAUUGGGCGUAAAGCGAGCGCAGACGGUUGAUUAAGUCUGAUGUGAAAGCCCGGAGCUCAACUCCGGAAAGGCAUUGGAAACUGGUCAACUUGAGUGCAGUAGAGGUAAGUGGAACUCCAUGUGUAGCGGUGGAAUGCGUAGAUAUAUGGAAGAACACCAGCGGCGAAGGCGGCUUACUGGACUGUAACUGACGUUGAGGCUCGAAAGUGUGGGUAGCAAACAGGAUUAGAUACCCUGGUAGUCCACACCGUAAACGAUGAACACUAGGUGUUAGGAGGUUUCCGCCUCUUAGUGCCGAAGCUAACGCAUUAAGUGUUCCGCCUGGGGAGUACGACCGCAAGGUUGAAACUCAAAGGAAUUGAC
RNAcentral lists this ribosomal RNA (879 nucleotides) under Leuconostoc gelidum. RNAcentral describes it as "bacterial SSU rRNA". It matches the Rfam family "Bacterial small subunit ribosomal RNA", at positions 52 to 914 of the family's 1533-position model. Lineage: Bacteria; Bacillati; Bacillota; Bacilli; Lactobacillales; Lactobacillaceae. The record is from RNAcentral.